Molecule: small nuclear RNA, 110 nt
Organism: Vicugna pacos (alpaca)
Lineage: Eukaryota; Metazoa; Chordata; Mammalia; Artiodactyla; Camelidae
Source: Ensembl
AAACCCUUCCAGCAGUACUUGCCUUAUUGAUUGAAAUAAGAGUAAUACAGAGAUUAGCAGGGCUCCUGGGUAAGUAUGACAUUUAAACUAGUGAAAGUUUCCUCGUGUGU